RNAcentral lists this ribosomal RNA (484 nucleotides) under uncultured bacterium. Its description in RNAcentral is "partial 16S ribosomal RNA". It matches the Rfam family "Bacterial small subunit ribosomal RNA", at positions 30 to 507 of the family's 1533-position model. The record is from RNAcentral.
AUUGAACGCUGGCGGCAGGCCUAACACAUGCAAGUCGAGCGGAUGAAGGGAGCUUGCUCCUGGAUUCAGCGGCGGACGGGUGAGUAAUGCCUAGGAAUCUGCCUGGUAGUGGGGGAUAACGUCCGGAAACGGGCGCUAAUACCGCAUACGUCCUGAGGGAGAAAGUGGGGGAUCUUCGGACCUCACGCUAUCAGAAGAGCCUAGGUCGGAUUAGCUAGUUGGUGGGGUAAAGGCCUACCAAGGCGACGAUCCGUAACUGGUCUGAGAGGAUGAUCAGUCACACUGGAACUGAGACACGGUCCAGACUCCUACGGGAGGCAGCAGUGGGGAAUAUUGGACAAUGGGCGAAAGCCUGAUCCAGCCAUGCCGCGUGUGUGAAGAAGGUCUUCGGAUUGUAAAGCACUUUAAGUUGGGAGGAAGGGCAGUAAGUUAAUACCUUACUGUUUUGACGUUACCAACAGAAUAAGCACCGGCUAACUUCGUG